Molecule: long non-coding RNA, 1434 nt
Organism: Musa acuminata AAA Group (dessert banana)
Lineage: Eukaryota; Viridiplantae; Streptophyta; Magnoliopsida; Zingiberales; Musaceae
Exons: 2
Source: RefSeq, a predicted model, not a curated record
CCCACCUCCCUCCUCCGCCUUCUUCUUGUUCUGCCUCUUUCAUCCCCUCCCUCCUCCUCUGUCCCUUCUUCUGCUCCUCACAUCUCCUCCCCUCUUCGUCUGCCCUCUUCCGACGGUACGCUGCUUUCGAACUUCCCUUCCGAGUCCGUUGCGGCCGUAGGCUUCCAGGAGGGUCCCGUUGCGAAGCGCAAGGCGCUGGCCUUUGUUGGGUCCGAAUCGUUCCGUCGUAAGAGUUUUCUAAUACGAUAUUGGAUCUUGAAGUUCUCCUCUCAAUUUUUCGUUUGUGAUGUUGAAUCUUGAAUUCAUAGAGUUAUUAGUUUUACCAUCUUCCGACGACAGGCGGCUUUUGAACUUCCCAUUUGGUUCAUCGCCACACCCCAGGCUUUCGGGAGGUUCCUGUUGCGGAGCUCAAGGCGCUGGGCUUUGUUGGGUCCAGAUCGGGCUUACUUUCCGUCGUUAGAUCGGAGACCGCUCCAUCCCUCCUCACAUUUGUUUUACCGCCUCAUGGGAUUUUGAUGGAAAUAGUACUCAAAACCCUCAAAAACAUCAAAACAGAGAGAAUCGAUAAGUUGUGCUCACAGAGGACUUGAGCAGCAUCGCUGGUCUGAUCCAAGAAAACAAGUGAAGAACAAAUCUCAAUAGAAUGGAAGGAGAAAGAUCGAGUCCGAUCCAAGAAAACAAGUGAACAAUGACAUAUCUCCAAAGAAUGGGAGGAGUGGAUCGAGAGAGAAUCGAGAAGUUUUACCAUCUGAUCGAGGAGGUAAAAGAAGACCUCUCCAUCCCUCCUCGCGUUCGUUUUACCGCCUCAUGGGAUUUUGAUGGAAAUAGUACUCAAAACCCUCAAAACACAUCAAACGAGAGGAAAUCGAGAAGUUCUACUCACAGAGAACUUAAGCGCCAUCGCUGGUCUAAUCCAAGAAAACAAAUGAAGCACAAAUCUCAACAGAAUGGGAGAGGAAAGAUCGACUCCGAUCUAAGAAAACAAAUGAACAAGGACAGAUCUCAAAAGAAUGGGAAAAGAAAAAUCGAGAGAGAUCAGCGAAUGAUCGAGAAGUUCUUUUCACCUGAUCGAGGAGGAAGAAGAAGACCGCUCCAUCCAUCCCUGCGUUCGUCUUACCACCUCAUUCGAUUUUGACGGAAAUAUUAACUCAAAACCACGACACCAGAGAGGGGCGGCAUUUAUAGGCAGAGGUCGUCACGUGCUGUGCACCUGAUAGUUUCCAAACCGCCAAAGUCCAGUACGAAACGGAUCACAACUUGAGUCGCGACUCCACUCUGACCGACUGCCAACUGUUGUGGCCAUUAGGAGAUUAUCGGAUCAAAUCCACUCGGAUCCGAAUCCGGGUCCGUAAAUUUUUAGGACCUUUUAACUAUUACAAUCCUUGUCGAUACACGUGAUAUUAAAAAAAUAAUGGUGCAAUCCUUCUUGGAUCA